This 235-nucleotide non-coding RNA is filed under the name unclassified sequences. The record is from Rfam.
UCUGUAUAUAACGAUAUUAUAUCCAAGAGAAUAUAGUCGCUCCCUGUACAGAAUAGGUUUUGAGUAAUAUGUUUAGUGAGAUUGAUUUAGUGAGAUAACGAAAGUUAUUGAGGUUGGAAUAUCAUAAAACAGGGAUAACCGUAAGUCCUUAAGAAUUAUUAUUCUUUAAAAUUAAUCUUUUAAAAUUAUGAAAGUCAAAUUUAGUGCUUUUGUAUAUUUUAAGAGUUACGGCUGA